CCUACGGGUGGCAGCAGUGGGGGAUAUUGCACAAUGGGGGGAACCCUGAUGCAGCGACGCCGCGUGGGUGAAGAAGGGCCUCGGCGCGUAAAGCCCUGUCAGCAGGGAAGAAAAUGACGGUACCUGAAGAAGAAGCCCCGGCUAACGACGUGCCAGCAGCCGCGGUAAUACGUAGGGGGCAAGCGUUAUCCGGAUUUACUGGGUGUAAAGGGGGCGCAGACGGCGAUGCAAGCCAGGGGUGCAAGCCCGGGGCGCAACCCCGGGAUUGCACUGGGAACUGCGUGGCUGGAGUGCAGGAGGGGCAGGCGGAAUUCCUGGUGUAGCGGUGAAAUGCGUAGAUAUCAGGAGGAACACCGGUGGCGAAGGCAGCCUGCUGGACUGGAACUGACGUUGAGGCCCGAAAGUGUGGGGAGCAAACAGGAUUAGAUACCCUGGUAGUC
RNAcentral lists this ribosomal RNA (440 nucleotides) under uncultured bacterium. Its description in RNAcentral is "partial 16S ribosomal RNA". It matches the Rfam family "Bacterial small subunit ribosomal RNA", at positions 338 to 795 of the family's 1533-position model. The record is from RNAcentral.